CCUCAGAAAUGGCUUAUUAUUUACCAAACACUUUAGGAACUGAAUAAUUGGGAGCAUUUCCUGGAAAUCAAGUGUAUCAUAAAACAUUGUUUGAAAUCAUGUUUCGCAAACUAGUAUAUAUUUGAACGGAUAACUCGAAAACACUAGUUUCAUUUCGUUCGUAGAUAAUUUCACUAGUCAAGAUGAAAAUAAUCGCAUUAUUUACAGUAUUUACUGUCUUGGUAACUCUGGUAAAUUCCCAUCCCGGUAUCCAGAAAUCAAAUGAUAUUGCAGAAAUCAACGGGGAAUUGGAAGAAAUCAAUCCAUUAGUAAGAGGUGUAAGAGCCGUUUGUGAUGAUGCUUUUUGCGCAAAAAUGUGCAGAUUAGACAGAAAACCUGGUGGACGGUGUUGGGGAAGUGUUUGCGUUUGUAAUCGACCUUAAUAUGUAAUAUAAAAAAACGUAUUCAUUAUCGACAAGAAGUACAGAACACUUCUCAUGCCUUUCUUGGGUGUUAUUUUUUUUCCCAAAAAUAUAUUUUAAAUGAGAAA
Molecule: unclassified non-coding RNA, 529 nt
Organism: Leptinotarsa decemlineata (Colorado potato beetle)
Lineage: Eukaryota; Metazoa; Arthropoda; Insecta; Coleoptera; Chrysomelidae
Source: RefSeq, a predicted model, not a curated record